This 497-nucleotide ribosomal RNA is filed under the name uncultured bacterium. Its description in RNAcentral is "partial 16S ribosomal RNA". It matches the Rfam family "Bacterial small subunit ribosomal RNA", at positions 28 to 507 of the family's 1533-position model. The record is from RNAcentral.
GAUGAACGCUGGCGGCGUGCCUAAUACAUGCAAGUCGAGCGAACAGACGAGGAGCUUGCUCCUCUGACGUUAGCGGCGGACGGGUGAGUAACACGUGGAUAACCUACCUAUAAGACUGGGAUAACUUCGGGAAACCGGAGCUAAUACCGGAUAAUAUAUUGAACCGCAUGGUUCAAUAGUGAAUGACGGUUUUGCUGUCUCUUCUAGAUGCAUCCGGGCCGCAUGAGCUAGUUGGUAAGGUAACGGCUUACCAAGGCAACGAUGCGUAGCCGACCUGAGAGGGUGAUCGGCCACACGGGAACUGAGACACGGUCCAGACUCCUACGGGAGGCAGCAGUAGGGAAUCUUCCGCAAUGGGGGAAAGCCUGACGGAGCAACGCCGCGUGAGUGAUGAAGGUCUUCGGAUCGUAAAACUCUGUUAUUAGGGAAGAACAAAUGUGUAAGUAACUAUGCACGUCUUGACGGUACCUAAUCAGAAAGCCACGGCUAACUACGUG